AAUGGUGGGAUUGCAGGAUCAUGGAGUGACACAGGAUCACAUGGAAUCACAUGGAAUCACGGAAUCAUGGAAUGGCGGGAUGGUGGGAUCAUGCAGUGACACAGGAUCACACGGAAUCACAUGGAAUCAGGGAAUGGCAGAAUGGUGGGAUUGCGGGAUCAUGGAGUGACACAGGAUCACAUGGAAUCACAGGAUCAGGAAAUGGCAGAAUAGCAGGAUGGCGGGAUUGUGGGAUCAUGCAGUGACACAGGAUCACAUGGAAUCAUGGAAUCAGGGAAUGGCAGAAUGGCGGGAUCUCAGGGUUGGGGGAUCACGGAGUCACACAGAAUCAGGGAAUCACAGAGAAUCAGGGAAUUACAAAAUGGCGGAAUCUCGGUAUUAUGGAAUCACAGAAUCACACAAUCACGGAAUCACAGAAUCACACAGAAUCAGGGAAUCAUGGAAUCACACAAUCAAACAAUCACACAGAAUCUUACAGAAUCACACAAAUCAAUCACACAGGAUCACAGAGGAUCUCACAGAACCACACACAAUCACACAGUAUCACAGAAUCACACAAUCAGGGAAUCGCACGGAAUCACACAGUCAAUCACAGAAUCACAGGAUCCCACAGAAUUCUCACAAUCACACAAACCCUGGGUUGGGAAAGCCCUUCAAGGCCCUGGAGCCCAGCGCAGCCCCUGGCACCCAGUGCCACCUCCAGGCUGGUCAAACACACCCAGGGAUGGNAAUAAUAAUAAUAAUAAUAAUAAUAAUAAUAAUAAUAAUAAUAAUAAUAAUAUCACCUGACUUUUCACCUUAUCAACUGACUUUUCAUUCUCAAGACUAUUUUUGCCAUCUUGAGAGUGACAAGUCAGUUAAUAACAAAUUAUUUAUUCCCGGGUAAAAAACAGGCUGUGCCUGUAAUAAGAAGAGAUCUGUUCCUUGAGAAUGAGCAGAAAGGGUGUGGAAAUGGACUAAAAAUAAAGAAGUCUGACUGAUAUGUGAAAUAUUGAUG
This 997-nucleotide long non-coding RNA is filed under the name Zonotrichia albicollis (white-throated sparrow). Its description in RNAcentral is "lncRNA (ENSZALG00000001398.1)". Lineage: Eukaryota; Metazoa; Chordata; Aves; Passeriformes; Passerellidae. The record is from RNAcentral.